This 489-nucleotide ribosomal RNA is filed under the name uncultured bacterium. RNAcentral's name for it is "partial 16S ribosomal RNA". It matches the Rfam family "Bacterial small subunit ribosomal RNA", at positions 899 to 1397 of the family's 1533-position model. The record is from RNAcentral.
ACUCAAAUGAAUUGACGGGGACCUGCACAAGCGGUGGAGCGUGGGGUUUAAUUCGUCACUAAACGAAGAACCUUACCAAGGCUUUACAUCUCUCGAAAGCUCUGGAAACAGAGCCGUGCCCGCAAGGGAACGAGAUGACAGGUGUUGCACGGUUGUCGUCAGCUCGUGCUGUGAAGUGUCCCGUUCAGUCGGUUAACGAGCGCAACCCCUACUCUGUGUUGUAUUUCUCACAGAGAACUGCCCUGGUUAACAGGGAGGAAGGUGGGGACGACGUCAAAUCAGCGUGGCCCUUAUGUCUUGGGCUACACCCGCGCUACAAUGGGAAAUAACAAUGGGUUGCCAAGCCGCGAGGCGGAGCUAAUCCUAUCAAACUUUCCCCCAGUUCAGAUUGGAGGCUGCAACUCGCCUCCAUGAAGUCGGAAUCGCUAGUAACGGCCAGUCAGCUAUAUGGCCGUGAAUACGUUCUCAGGUCUUGUACACACCGCCCGU